UCACCAAAGGAUGCAGUACUAGA
This 23-nucleotide unclassified non-coding RNA is filed under the name Mus musculus (house mouse). RNAcentral's name for it is "oocyte_clustered_small_RNA6086". Lineage: Eukaryota; Metazoa; Chordata; Mammalia; Rodentia; Muridae. The record is from RNAcentral.